Molecule: unclassified non-coding RNA, 402 nt
Filed under: soil metagenome
Description: partial contains 5.8S ribosomal RNA, internal transcribed spacer 2, and large subunit ribosomal RNA
Rfam family: 5.8S ribosomal RNA (bases 1-121)
Source: RNAcentral
GAUGAAGAACGCAGCGAAAUGCGAUAAGUAAUGUGAAUUGCAGAAUUCAGUGAAUCAUCGAAUCUUUGAACGCACCUUGCGCCCUUUGGCUAUUCUGAAGGGCAUGCCUGUUUGAGUAUCGUGAACACCUCAACUCUCAUGGUCUGCCAUGAUGAGCUUGGACUUUGGGGGUCUUGCUGGCCUACUGUCAGCUCCUCUCAAAUGAAUCAGCUUACCAGUGUUUGGUGGCACCACAGGUGUGAUAACUAUCUACGCUUGUGGUUUUCUGCCAGGUAACCUCCAGUGAUGGAGGUUCGAUGGAGCUCACAAAUGUCUCUCCUCAGCGAGGACAGCUUUUUGAACGUUUGAUCUCAAAUCAGGUAGGACUACCCGCUGAACUUAAGCAUAUCAAUAAGCGGAGGA